UACAGAGGUCUCGAGCGUUGUUCGGAUUCAUUGGGCGUAAAGGGCGCGUAGGCGGCGGGGUAAGUCUGGUGUGAAAUCUCGGAGCUCAACUCCGAAAUUGCACUGGAUACUGCUCUGCUAGAGGGCUGGAGAGGAAACUGGAAUUUACGGUGUAGCAGUGAAAUGCGUAGAGAUCGUAAGGAAGACCAGUGGCGAAGGCGAGUUUCUGGACAGUUACUGACGCUGAGGCACGAAGGCCAGGGGAGCAAACGGG
This 253-nucleotide ribosomal RNA is filed under the name uncultured bacterium. RNAcentral describes it as "partial 16S ribosomal RNA". It matches the Rfam family "Bacterial small subunit ribosomal RNA", at positions 524 to 776 of the family's 1533-position model. The record is from RNAcentral.